GACGAACGCUGGCGGCGUGCUUCAUACAUGCAAGUCGAACGAACUCGACCUUCGGGUCACAUGAGUGAGUGGCGAACGGGUGAGUAACACGUGAGAAACCUGCCCCGAAGUUUGGAAUAACUCAAAGAAAUUUGAGCUAAUACCAAAUGCCCUGUUCGGAUCGAAUGGUCUGAUCAGGAAAGAUUUAUCGCUUUGGGAGGGUCUCGCGACCUAUCAGCUUGUUGGUAAGGUAACGGCUUACCAAGGCACCGACGGGUAGCUGGUCUGAGAGGACGAUCAGCCACACUGGGACUGAGACACGGCCCAGACUUCUACGGAAGGCAGCAGUAGGGAAUCUUGCACAAUGGGCGAAAGCCUGAUGCAGCGACGCCGCGUGGGGGAUGAAGGCCCUAGGGUCGUAAACCCCUUUCAGCAGGGACGAAAUUGACGGUACCUGCAGAAGAAGCUCCGGCCAACUACG
RNAcentral lists this ribosomal RNA (460 nucleotides) under uncultured Acidimicrobiales bacterium. RNAcentral describes it as "bacterial SSU rRNA". It matches the Rfam family "Bacterial small subunit ribosomal RNA", at positions 28 to 505 of the family's 1533-position model. The record is from RNAcentral. Lineage: Bacteria; Bacillati; Actinomycetota; Acidimicrobiia; Acidimicrobiales.